RNAcentral lists this ribosomal RNA (253 nucleotides) under uncultured bacterium. RNAcentral's name for it is "partial 16S ribosomal RNA". It matches the Rfam family "Bacterial small subunit ribosomal RNA", at positions 524 to 776 of the family's 1533-position model. The record is from RNAcentral.
AACGUAGGAGACAAACGUUAUCCGGAGUUACUGGGCGUAAAGGGCGUGUAGGCGGUUAGUUAAGUCUGGCGUGAAAGCUCUCGGCUAAACCGGGAGAGGUCGUUGGAUACUGGCAAACUUGAGGACGGUAGAGGCGUGUGGAAUUCCGGGUGUAGUGGUGAAAUGCGUAGAGAUCCGGAGGAACACCAGUGGCGAAGGCGACACGCUGGGCCGUACCUGACGCUAAAGCGCGACAGCAUGGGGAGCAAACGGG